UAGUCCACGCCCUAAACGAUGUGUGCUAGUUGUUAGUCCUUCAGGGAUUAGUGACGCAGCUAACGCAUUAAGCACACCGCCUGGGGAGUACGGCCGCAAGGUUAAAACUCAAAGAAAUUGACGGGGACCCGCACAAGCGGUGGAGCAUGUGGUUUAAUUCGAAGCAACGCGAAGAACCUUACCAACCCUUGACAUCCUUAUCGCGGAUCGCAGAGAUGCUUUCCUUCAGUUCGGCUGGAUAAGUGACAGGUGCUGCACGGCUGUCGUCAGCUCGUGUCGUGAGAUGUUCGGUUAAGUCCGGCAACGAGCGCAACCCUCGCUAAUAGUUGCCAUCAUUUAGUUGGGCACUCUAUUAGAACUGCCGGUGAUAAACCGGAGGAAGGUGGGGGAU
Molecule: ribosomal RNA, 391 nt
Filed under: uncultured bacterium
Lineage: Bacteria
Description: bacterial SSU rRNA
Rfam family: Bacterial small subunit ribosomal RNA
Source: RNAcentral